RNAcentral lists this long non-coding RNA (297 nucleotides) under Elaeis guineensis (African oil palm). Its description in RNAcentral is "long non-coding RNA (EGUI_LNC075842)". Lineage: Eukaryota; Viridiplantae; Streptophyta; Magnoliopsida; Arecales; Arecaceae. The record is from RNAcentral.
UGAUCAUAUCAUUGAAAUGAAUGUUCCAACUCCAAGGGUAUUGUGGUCUUUGUGAUUACCUAUCACAAGAAGUGAAAUCCAUAGGUUAUUCCAUAUAGAAAUCUUCAAAAAAUCUCUACUCAGGAAAGCUAUUUCACAUCCUUUCUUGGAAUCAAUAUCUUACAUCGCCUCGUUGUAAGUUCUGGGAUCAUCUCUAUAUUUUCUAUCUCUCAUGAAAAAUAAUUUUCUCUACAUCCUCUGUUAAACAUACUCGAAUAUCUUUCGAGAAGAUUGGAGAUCCUACUAUGUAUACGAGGU